Molecule: ribosomal RNA, 253 nt
Filed under: uncultured bacterium
Lineage: Bacteria
Description: partial 16S ribosomal RNA
Rfam family: Bacterial small subunit ribosomal RNA
Source: RNAcentral
UACGAAGGGUGCUAGCGUUGUUCGGAAUGACUGGGCGUAAAGGGAGCGUAGGCGGUUGAGUACGUUUGAUGUGAAAGUCCUGGGCUUAACCUGGGGACUGCAUUGAAUACGGCUUGACUUGAGGUAUAGAGGGGAAGAUGGAAUUGCGUGUGUAGAGGUGAAAUUCGUAGGUAUACGCAAGAACACCAGUGGCGAAGGCGGCUACCUGGACCGGUUCUGACGCUGAGGCGCGAAAGCGUGGGUAGCAAACAGG